AGGGCACCACCAGGAGUGGAGCCUGCGGCUUAAUUUGACUCAACACGGGGAAACUCACCAGGUCCAGACACAAUAAGGAUUGACAGAUUGAGAGCUCUUUCUUGAUUUUGUGGGUGGUGGUGCAUGGCCGUUCUUAGUUGGUGGAGUGAUUUGUCUGCUUAAUUGCGAUAACGAACGAGACCUUAACCUGCUAAAUAGUGCAGCUAGCUUUUGCUGGUUUGAUACUUCUUAGAGGGACUAUCGACAUCAAGUCGAUGGAAGUUUGAGGCA
Molecule: ribosomal RNA, 270 nt
Filed under: uncultured eukaryote
Lineage: Eukaryota
Description: partial small subunit ribosomal RNA
Rfam family: Eukaryotic small subunit ribosomal RNA
Source: RNAcentral